This 492-nucleotide ribosomal RNA is filed under the name Psammolyce sp. EN-2012. Its description in RNAcentral is "partial 16S ribosomal RNA". It matches the Rfam family "Bacterial large subunit ribosomal RNA", at positions 1819 to 2597 of the family's 2925-position model. The record is from RNAcentral. Lineage: Eukaryota; Metazoa; Annelida; Polychaeta; Phyllodocida; Sigalionidae.
CCUCUCAGCUUUCUCUAUUAGAGGUACAUCCUGCCCAGUGAAAUCUUCAACGGCCGCGGUACCCUGACCGUGCAAAGGUAGCAUAAUCAUUUGCCUCUUAAUUAGAGGCUAGUAUGAACGGACACACGAAGCCCACCCUGUCUCUCCUAAACCCCCGUAAAUUGGCCCCCAGGUGAAGAGACCUGGAUUCCCCAAAAAGACAAGAAGACCCUAUUGAGUUUCAUUGGUCUGAACGGCCAAACAAACCCUCUAUCAACCACCAAUUUAGUUGGGGCGACUAAGGAAUAACUAAACCUUCCUUUCACUUUAAGAAUCAAUCUUCUUUUUAUCUGACCCCUCACCGAUCAACUGAAUAAACUACCAUAGGGAUAACAGGCUUAUCUUCUUUGAGAGCCCAAAUUGACAAGAAGGUCUGGCACCUCGAUGUUGGCUUAGGGCACCCCUUAAACGCAGAAGUUUAACAUGGUUAGUUUGUUCAACUAUUAAAGCCCU